UUUCCUGUUUGCCCACUUGCCCAUGUACAUGUGUACUGUUAUAUUAUGUAUGUCCUAUAUAUACGAGGUUGGCAACGCUGGAUUUUCGGUACCUCCUUAUUGAAGGCACACCUAUGCAUGUGCUCUAUCCAUCUAGUUCGUUGUUUGACAUGCCCAAAGAGUGUGUGUGUGUGUGUGUUGGUUGGUUGGUUGGUUGCAGGUCCAGGUGUAUGUCCUAGGUAUUGUGCGCUCUGUCACAUGCCAACGACACCCAGGCAGGAAGGGAGGAAUGAUCUGUUAAAGAGAACUCGGGAAUAAACAGCAGGGAGCACCAAACACUCGCUGGGUUGGUAUAAAUGUAUCCAGCAGAGGCACACACACACACACAUACACACACACACACACACACACACACACACACACAAGAAAAACAAUCCACUGGAUCAUUUGUGCUAUAUAGUUGUUCCCCCUUCUGCCCGUAUUAAGGUAUUACUACUCGUUUUUCCUUGAUGUAGCCAGCACUGAAACGGCACCAUGCAUGUUUGGCUUUACGACAUAGUUUAUAAGCUAGUUGCUAUUCUGGGGAUGCGAGCAUCAAAGGUACGACAUGNGUGUGUCGGUGGCCCUACGGCCC
Molecule: long non-coding RNA, 613 nt
Filed under: Volvox carteri
Lineage: Eukaryota; Viridiplantae; Chlorophyta; Chlorophyceae; Chlamydomonadales; Volvocaceae
Description: long non-coding RNA (VCAR_LNC004354)
Source: RNAcentral